GUUGGAGGACUUUCACGCCCUUGUUACUCACUCACUCUCUCUCUGACACACACACACACUCACACACACACUUUCACAGAGCGAGCCGUCUGACAGAACAUAAACACGUAUUAGCCGUAUCAUCUCUCAUCGACACUUAAUGCCGAAGCGCUGGGUGUUAACACGCCACAAGCCGUGCUAAUGCACUGUGGCGGUGAGCAUUUUGGUGACGCCAUUAAUGCAAAUACGAUUACACUCAUAGAGACACACGCAAGUGAGUUACACACACCAAUGUGUAAAACCUGCGGCUGGAAGGUCCAAAGAUAGAUAGGAAAAGGCUGCUGAAAGUGCGCUUCAAGGAUGUUCCCGCCUCGCCCCCAGUCCUGGCGUUUAUAGUCAUGAAGAUGUUUCACAGACAAACUGGAGGUUGAAGACUUAAUUUAGGUGGUGGGCCCACACGCUAAUGAGCUCUGACAUCCGGAAGAAGCUCGGAGUAGAGCCGCUGCUCCUUUGCGUCCAAAGGAGUCAGUUGAGGUGGUUUCGGGCAUCUGGUGAGGAUGCCUCCCGGGUGCCUUCCAUUGGAGGUCUUCCAGGCACGUCCAACUGGUAGGAGGCCUCGGGGCGGACCCAGAACCUGCUGGAGAGAUUAUAUAUCUCAUUUUGCCGGGGAACGCCUCGGGAUCCCCCAGGAGGAGCGGGAAAACGCUGCUGGGGAGAGGGACGUCUGGUCUACUUUGCUUGACCUGCUGCCACUGCGACCCAACCCUGGGAUAAGUGGAAAAAAAACGGAGGAGUGAUGUUGUUAUAGGAAAAGUCACAUGAUCACCAAAGUCAUUAGGAUUCAUUGUCUGGAAACCAUGAAUGUCGUUGUAGGAUUUAGCACCGAUCCAUCAUGUGGAUGGGACGAAUGAGGUUUUUUGUGAAAAACUUGGACCUGCUGGCUGCUGCCUGAUGAAAAGACAAAUUCACUCCUCUGAGACAUUAACAUCCCGUUAGAUUCAAACAUGAUCACGCUCAAAAACUUUGACCAAAAAACCUAAAACAAAUGCCCCUGAAUUCAAACAUCAUUAAACGAGAACUUUCACCGUGGCAGCCGCGUCAUUUUCCGUUGUCAGAAAUCUGCUUGUGUCGUUCUUGCUGUCUGACAGGAGCCCGGGUCAGCGCAGGUUGAGGCUCUGGCCCCGGGGUGCGGAUGCCAAUGUGAAUACGUCACCUGCUUCGCCCCUGGGCCGUAGCGGCUUGACAGGCCCGGUGUGAAAACAACCCCCCCCCCCCCCCCCCCCAAAUCCAGCCCACAGCUAGAUUGAUCUAUCAACCUCCACCACGGUUUGAUCCUGGCAGCGGCAGUGACAGACGUUUCAUACUUCAUCACUGUCUGUCAGGGCGGCUUUGAUGGAUGAAGAGCUAAAUUGCUGUGAUUAAAUGAACUGUUAAAUCAUUAGGAGUGAGAAGUAUGAGUCCAUGUUGAUAAGGGCCAGUGGUGGGAGACAGCUCCAAACAUAUGACACUGAACAAAACAUGACUCUAGAAGAAAAUAUGAAGGAUGAUUAAAAAACAAAGAAACAUAAACAAAUAAGGCUUAUAUUGAUUCUUCCUUCCUUCCUUCCUUCCUUCUCAUCUCUUCCUCCAUCCUACCUUUCCCCACUGAGAGCGAGAAGUACAGGAAGCAGAUCCUCUCGAAUUAAACUCCACAUACUCCUCUCUAGCUAUUUGCUCCCCAAGAAUUCUCUGCUUCGUUCCAAUCAUAACUACAGGAAAGAGAGGUUCGAGCUGGGGGGGUGAUGGGGGGGUGGUAGGAGGCAGGAGGUGAUGGAUGGCUUUUCAACACCAUGUUUGUACAGCGCAUAGCUGGAGCUGCUGAUGGGAAGGGAAACAACGGACGGAUGAAAACAGAUACGGAGAAGUGGUAAUACGGAUAGUAAAGUUUAAGAAACUUUAUGAAAACGCCUGUGGAUUGCAACAACACCGAUAUCUGUGUACGUGUGUGUGUGUGUGUGUGUGUGUGUGUGUGUGUGUGUGUGACUGUGAAUGUUUUAAGUGUCUAAGCACAAGACCGCGUGGACCGACGAGGUAUGUUGCUUGGCUGGACGACACUUUCUGGUGCAGAGAGAACUAACCGGGGAUGUAAGUGUGUGUGUUCUGUGUUUGACUCAAGGCCAGUUCAGGGUUAUCCAUCUCUUAGCUUUGGCCGAGUGACGGGUCAGCAGGGGUCUAAUACCUCGGCCAGAUGUGUCUGCGGCUCCCCGUGUUCAUGUCCUUGUAGAUACCUUUACCCUCAUUUUACUCUUUUCCUUUUUUUUUUUUUUCCUUUCUUCCUUUCGUCUGUUUAUUUGCUCUGAGUUGCUUUCAGUGACACAUUGUUGGCUGUGUUUCACAGGCAAUAUCGCUGCGCUGUAUAAAAUCUGCCCCAAGCCUCCAGGGUGGAAUGUAAACAAAAAAUCAUAUCAAA
Molecule: long non-coding RNA, 2428 nt
Organism: Seriola aureovittata
Lineage: Eukaryota; Metazoa; Chordata; Actinopteri; Carangiformes; Carangidae
Exons: 3
Source: RefSeq, a predicted model, not a curated record